GGGGAUUUAGCUCAGUGGCAUAAGCACCUGCUUCAAAAGCACAAGGUUGUGAGUCAAUCCCCA
Molecule: transfer RNA, 63 nt
Filed under: Cavia porcellus (domestic guinea pig)
Lineage: Eukaryota; Metazoa; Chordata; Mammalia; Rodentia; Caviidae
Rfam family: tRNA
About the family: Transfer RNA (tRNA) molecules are approximately 80 nucleotides in length. Their secondary structure includes four short double-helical elements and three loops (D, anti-codon, and T loops).
Source: Rfam by way of RNAcentral